RNAcentral lists this ribosomal RNA (584 nucleotides) under uncultured bacterium. RNAcentral describes it as "partial 16S ribosomal RNA". It matches the Rfam family "Bacterial small subunit ribosomal RNA", at positions 355 to 938 of the family's 1533-position model. The record is from RNAcentral.
UGGGGAAUUUUGGACAAUGGGCGAAAGCCUGAUCCAGCAAUGCCGCGUGUGUGAAGAAGGCCUUCGGGUUGUAAAGCACUUUUGUCCGGAAAGAAAUCCUUGGCUCUAAUACAGUCGGGGGAUGACGGUACCGGAAGAAUAAGCACCGGCUAACUACGUGCCAGCAGCCGCGGUAAUACGUAGGGUGCAAGCGUUAAUCGGAAUUACUGGGCGUAAAGCGUGCGCAGGCGGUUUGCUAAGACCGAUGUGAAAUCCCCGGGCUCAACCUGGGAACUGCAUUGGUGACUGGCAGGCUAGAGUAUGGCAGAGGGGGGUAGAAUUCCACGUGUAGCAGUGAAAUGCGUAGAGAUGUGGAGGAAUACCGAUGGCGAAGGCAGCCCCCUGGGCCAAUACUGACGCUCAUGCACGAAAGCGUGGGGAGCAAACAGGAUUAGAUACCCUGGUAGUCCACGCCCUAAACGAUGUCAACUAGUUGUUGGGGAUUCAUUUCCUUAGUAACGUAGCUAACGCGUGAAGUUGACCGCCUGGGGAGUACGGUCGCAAGAUUAAAACUUAAAGGAAUUGACGGGGUCAAGCUGUUUCCU